ACGGCGAGUGAAGCGGCAAUAGCUCAAAUUUGAAAUCUGGCUCCUCCGGGGUCCGAGUUGUAAUUUGCAGAGGAUGUUUCGGGUGCGGCCCGGUCCAAGUCCCUUGGAACAGGGUGUCACAGAGGGUGAGAAUCCCGUAUGUGACCGGCGUCCAACCCCGUACGAAACGCCUUCGACGAGUCGAGUUGUUUGGGAAUGCAGCUCAAAAUGGGUGGUAAAUUUCAUCUAAAGCUAAAUACCGGCCAGAGACCGAUAGCGCACAAGUAGAGUGAUCGAAAGAUGAAAAGCACUUUGGAAAGAGAGUUAAAAAGUACGUGAAAUUGUUGAAAGGGAAGCGCUAGCGACCAGACCUGCCCCGGGUGAUCAACGGCUGUUCUCAGCCGUGCACUCGCCCGAGAUCAGGCCAGCAUCGGUUUCGGCGGUCGGAUAAAGACCUGAGGAACGUGGCUCCCCCCGGGGAGUGUUAUAGCCUCUCGUGCAAUGCGGCCAGCCGGGACCGAGGACCGCGCUUCGGCUAGGAUGCUGGCGUAAUGGUCGUUAGCGACC
RNAcentral lists this ribosomal RNA (546 nucleotides) under Gilbertaria contristans. Its description in RNAcentral is "partial large subunit ribosomal RNA". It matches the Rfam family "Eukaryotic large subunit ribosomal RNA", at positions 86 to 649 of the family's 3401-position model. The record is from RNAcentral. Lineage: Eukaryota; Fungi; Ascomycota; Lecanoromycetes; Lecanorales; Sphaerophoraceae.